GUGGUUUUAGUUUAAUAAAAACGUUUGCUUUGCAAGCAAUUAUUCUGAGUUAAAGUCUUAGAAACUACA
RNAcentral lists this transfer RNA (69 nucleotides) under Mespilia globulus. Its description in RNAcentral is "tRNA-Ala". It matches the Rfam family "tRNA". Rfam says of the family: Transfer RNA (tRNA) molecules are approximately 80 nucleotides in length. Their secondary structure includes four short double-helical elements and three loops (D, anti-codon, and T loops). Further hydrogen bonds mediate the characteristic L-shaped molecular structure. tRNAs have two regions of fundamental functional importance: the anti-codon, which is responsible for specific mRNA codon recognition, and the 3' end, to which the tRNAs corresponding amino acid is attached (by aminoacyl-tRNA synthetases). tRNAs cope with the degeneracy of the genetic code in two manners: having more than one tRNA (with a specific anti-codon) for a particular amino acid; and 'wobble' base-pairing, i.e. permitting non-standard base-pairing at the 3rd anti-codon position. Lineage: Eukaryota; Metazoa; Echinodermata; Echinoidea; Temnopleuroida; Temnopleuridae. The record is from RNAcentral.